RNAcentral lists this ribosomal RNA (448 nucleotides) under uncultured bacterium. Its description in RNAcentral is "partial 16S ribosomal RNA". It matches the Rfam family "Bacterial small subunit ribosomal RNA", at positions 330 to 794 of the family's 1533-position model. The record is from RNAcentral.
ACCAGACUCCUACGGGAGGCAGCAGUGGGGGAUAUUGCACAAUGGGGGGAACCCUGAUGCAGCGACGCCGCGUGGGUGAAGGAGUAUUUCGGUAUGUAAAGCCCUAUCGGCAGGGAAGAAGCAAGACGGUACCUGACUAAGAAGCCCCGGCUAACUACGUGCCAGCAGCCGCGGUAAUACGUAGGGGGCGAGCGUUAUCCGGAUUCACUGGGUGUAAAGGGAGCGUAGACGGCCAAGCAAGCCAGGGGUGAAAGCCCGGGGCCCAACCGCGGGAGUGCAUUGGGAACUGGCGAGCUAGAGUACCGGAGGGGCAGGCGGAAUUCCUAGUGUAGCGGUGAAAUGCGUAGAUAUUAGGAGGAACACCAGUGGCGAAGGCGGCCUGCUGGACGGAGACUGACGCUGAGGCUCGAAAGCGUGGGGAGCAAACAGGAUUAGAUACCCUAGUAGG